RNAcentral lists this ribosomal RNA (508 nucleotides) under uncultured bacterium. RNAcentral's name for it is "bacterial SSU rRNA". It matches the Rfam family "Bacterial small subunit ribosomal RNA", at positions 28 to 535 of the family's 1533-position model. The record is from RNAcentral.
GAUGAACGCUAGCGGCAGGCUUAACACAUGCAAGUCGAGGGGCAGCACGUCUUCGGAUGGUGGCGACCGGCGCACGGGUGAGUAACGCGUAUGCAAUCUACCUUUUACAGGGGCAUAGCCCGGGGAAACCCGGAUUAAUAUCCUAUAGUACCAUUAUAUAGCAUUAUAUUAUGGUUAAAGUUUCGGCGGUAAAAGAUGAGCGUGCGUCCUAUUAGCUUGAUGGUAAGGUAACGGCUUACCAUGGCUAUGAUAGGUAGGGGUCCUGAGAGGGAGACCCCCCACACUGGUACUGAGACACGGACCAGACUCCUACGGGAGGCAGCAGUGAGGAAUAUUGGACAAUGGGCGCAAGCCUGAUCCAGCCAUGCCGCGUGCAGGAAGACGGCCCUAUGGGUUGUAAACUGCUUUUAUACGGGAAGAAACACCCCUUCGUGAAGGGACUUGACGGUACCGUAUGAAUAAGGAUCGGCUAACUCCGUGCCAGCAGCCGCGGUAAUACGGAGGAUCC